This is a long non-coding RNA of Scatophagus argus, 532 nucleotides long. RefSeq lists it as uncharacterized. The transcript has 2 exons. Lineage: Eukaryota; Metazoa; Chordata; Actinopteri; Scatophagidae. The record is from RefSeq and is a predicted model, not a curated record.
GCAUCUCAACCACUAAGUUUACUCCAGACCUGCCAGCCAUCCUUCGAUCCAAAGCGCAGCAUCACUGCUCCCACUGAGUGCAAUGCCGUUCCCACUUUAGAGUACACACCGCUGUGCACAGCGCACACACUGCACACGCAAAGUCAGCUGAUCUCAUCUGAUGAAGAUUUGCUCCUUGAUCAAGUGAAUUUGUCCGGAUUUUUGGCACGAGUGGCGUCGGAUCAGCACCGCAGCUGGAUGGUCCAAUUUACAUACCCAGCGUAGCUGAUAUUCACCAGAAUAAUUUACUAAAAUUAUAUGCACUCCUGUUAUUAAGUCCAGUUCAGUCUGUUAAUCUUGAUAACCGUUUCAAACGAACGUUAAUAGGUGUGUUGCUAAGCCUAAUAACUUAAAUAACAAGCUUGAAAUUUAGCCGUUCCAUUUUCCACUUCAUUGUUUUUUCUCUGUACUGUAAAUCUUCUGUCUAAAUCUGAGGCUGCUGUUCUGAGAAUGAGCUUUUUCUGAAUAAAUCAGUUAAGAAAGCUGUGAUGAA